RNAcentral lists this transfer RNA (90 nucleotides) under Podoviridae sp. ctrTa16. RNAcentral's name for it is "tRNA-OTHER". It matches the Rfam family "tRNA". Rfam says of the family: Transfer RNA (tRNA) molecules are approximately 80 nucleotides in length. Their secondary structure includes four short double-helical elements and three loops (D, anti-codon, and T loops). Further hydrogen bonds mediate the characteristic L-shaped molecular structure. tRNAs have two regions of fundamental functional importance: the anti-codon, which is responsible for specific mRNA codon recognition, and the 3' end, to which the tRNAs corresponding amino acid is attached (by aminoacyl-tRNA synthetases). tRNAs cope with the degeneracy of the genetic code in two manners: having more than one tRNA (with a specific anti-codon) for a particular amino acid; and 'wobble' base-pairing, i.e. permitting non-standard base-pairing at the 3rd anti-codon position. The record is from RNAcentral. Lineage: Duplodnaviria; Heunggongvirae; Uroviricota; Caudoviricetes.
AGUCAGGUGGUGUAAUAGGUAGCACUCGGUGAGGUAGUCGUAGAAAUAUAGACCCAAUCUGAUGCGCAGGUUCGAGUCCUGCCCUGACUA